Molecule: long non-coding RNA, 210 nt
Filed under: Elaeis guineensis (African oil palm)
Lineage: Eukaryota; Viridiplantae; Streptophyta; Magnoliopsida; Arecales; Arecaceae
Description: long non-coding RNA (EGUI_LNC014118)
Source: RNAcentral
AAUGAGCCCUUAUAGUGGAUAUUGAUGACAGUUGGUCUACUAUAAGAGUAGGGUAUGUAUCAAGAUGGGAUCUAUCGAUCUUGAUAGAGAGAAGUAGUCCUAUGUGAUUUGAGAGGCUAAAUCUGAGAGUCUGUGGCCACAGCAGUAUAAUUGAUGAAAAAAUUUUUUUACAAGUAUCACAAUUGAACUUGAGCUGAUCGAAUUUAUCAU